AUUGAACGCUGGCGGCAGGCCUAACACAUGCAAGUCGAGCGGAUGAAGGGAGCUUGCUCCUGGAUUCAGCGGCGGACGGGUGAGUAAUGCCUAGGAAUCUGCCUGGUAGUGGGGGAUAACGUCCGGAAACGGGCGCUAAUACCGCAUACGUCCUGAGGGAGAAAGUGGGGGAUCUUCGGACCUCACGCUAUCAGAUGAGCCUAGGUCGGAUUAGCUAGUUGGUGGGGUAAAGGCCUACCAAGGCGACGAUCCGUAACUGGUCUGAGAGGAUGAUCAGUCACACUGGAACUGAGACACGGUCCAGACUCCUACGGGAGGCAGCAGUGGGGAAUAUUGGACAAUGGGCGAAAGCCUGAUCCAGCCAUGCCGCGUGUGUGAAGAAGGUCUUCGGAUUGUAAAGCACUUUAAGUUGGGAGGAAGAGCAGUAAGUUAAUACCUUGCUGUUUUGACGUUACCAACAGAAUAAGCACCGGCUAACUUCAUG
RNAcentral lists this ribosomal RNA (484 nucleotides) under uncultured bacterium. Its description in RNAcentral is "partial 16S ribosomal RNA". It matches the Rfam family "Bacterial small subunit ribosomal RNA", at positions 30 to 507 of the family's 1533-position model. The record is from RNAcentral.